AUUGUGACAAUUCCAUUUGAAUCUUUGAGUGGUUGAUCUCUGUUUGCAAUCCAUAUAUUGUUGGUCUUAUUGAUGUACCAAAUUCCUAGGUAACGGUUGGUUGAAUUUAAUGGGCUGAAAAAUCCUAGCUUGAAAUUUGUGUUGUUUGAGGUUAUUGUUUCGUUGUCUUUGAGUGAUUUAGAUGAUGUAAUGGUGUCGUUGGUAGAACUAUAACAUGAAUAAAAGGUGCUAAAUAUGAUGAACGUAAUUAUGAAGAAGUGGUUUGUGUUGUGAAUUAGAAAAGCCAUAAAUGGAUAACAAAUUGUUAGGUGUUUUUUUGAGGAAUACUAGAAUUUAGUUUGGUUUAAUGGGG
RNAcentral lists this long non-coding RNA (352 nucleotides) under Medicago truncatula (barrel medic). RNAcentral describes it as "lncRNA gene45082". The record is from RNAcentral. Lineage: Eukaryota; Viridiplantae; Streptophyta; Magnoliopsida; Fabales; Fabaceae.